RNAcentral lists this non-coding RNA (205 nucleotides) under Geobacter metallireducens. The record is from RNAcentral. Lineage: Bacteria; Pseudomonadati; Thermodesulfobacteriota; Desulfuromonadia; Geobacterales; Geobacteraceae. RNAcentral also lists the same sequence under 1 other name.
AAAUACAUUUUACGUUCAGGUGCUUUUGCCUCAUGGCAGAAGGUAAAAGGGAAAAGGGUGCGACUCCCUUGCUGUCCCGCAACUGUGAACGGUGAUGAAAGCCGCAACGAUGCCACUGAUCUGGUUUCCAUGAUGAAACCCCGGGAAGGCGCGGCGAGUAAAGUGAUCCGUGAGCCAGGAAACCUGCCUGACCGUCAGCUUCACA